This 257-nucleotide ribosomal RNA is filed under the name uncultured bacterium. RNAcentral describes it as "partial 16S ribosomal RNA". It matches the Rfam family "Bacterial small subunit ribosomal RNA", at positions 524 to 776 of the family's 1533-position model. The record is from RNAcentral.
UACGUAGGGUGCAAGCGUUAAUCGGAAUUACUGGGCGUAAAGCGUGCGCAGGCGGUUUUGUAAGUCUGUCGUGAAAUCCCCGGGCUCAACCUGGGAAUUGCGAUGGAGACUGCAAGGCUAGAAUCUGGCAGAGGGGGGUAGAAUUCCACGUGUAGCAGUGAAAGUGCGUAGAGAUGUGGAAGAACGACCGGUGGCGAAGGCGGCUACACUGGCUCGAUUACUGACGCUCAGGCGCGAUAGCGUGGGGAGCAAACAGG